RNAcentral lists this long non-coding RNA (1656 nucleotides) under Homo sapiens (human). Its description in RNAcentral is "HSALNT0328715". Lineage: Eukaryota; Metazoa; Chordata; Mammalia; Primates; Hominidae. The record is from RNAcentral.
UUUACAGGUCCACAGCUGGAAGGAGCUUUCCUUGAUUCUCAAAUGAGACUUUGGACUUUGGACUUUUGAGUCGGUGCUGAAACAAGCCACGCUCUUCAUGCCUGUGUGUUUCCCGCACCCCUGGGAAGGCGAAGGGAAGGAGCUACAUUGUCAAGUGUGGUCCAGCAAGUAAGCAGGUCCUGAGCACCAAACAUAUCACAGGCACUCACUGCUUGGGCCCACCAGUCAACAGGAGCCUGCUAGAUACAGCCAUGUGCCACUCCAACCUCCCUGAGGGCAUGGCCUAUGCACUAUUUGAUUUUCAGCAUAUCAUCACGAACUCCACGGGCGUCAAGAAGCAAUGGGUGUGGAUGUAGAAGCAGCCCGGAUUGCAACUGUGGUGGUGUAUUCUUGAACUAUAUUGUUCUAUUGGUGGUUUCUAGCUUUCUUGCCUUUCUGACCAUGAUACGAGUAGCUCCCUUGAUGGGUUAGUUCUGAAGGUUCAGAGAGUCUCUCCUCAGGCCUACACAAGCUCACUACUGCUCACUUUAUGUGAUGUGGGCCUACACAAGCUCACUGCUGCUGUCUUUCUAACAUGUCUAUAUGUUCUUCAUUAACUCUAUUAGAUCACUUUCUGCUGAAAGAGAUCAGUGUGCUUUCUGUUUCCUGAACUCAACCUUGGGAAAAAUAAGCAUAAAAUAUGUAUACAACAAGUGAAGAACAUCAAAGCAGCCCUGAGAUGAAUUUUCUAGGUAGACCAUCAACUUCUUUGUCAUCAAAAGCCUCAAUUCAAGAGUGAUUCAAAUUAGUACUUUACUGAAAUUACUGAUCACUAUUUGUCACAUUACUUUAAGGCUGAUUAUGAAUAUUUGAAACUUCAUGUUAAGUGCCUCAAUACCAACAGACUACUGUACUUGUUUAAUUUAAAUUUGAAAGCUAUCAUAAUUUCAAUAAAGGAAACACAGUGUAAACAAUAAGGAGUAAGACAAGCAUAUUCAUAUAAAACAUUUAGUUGCUAUUUUUUACUAUUAAAUUAUAUGACAUAACACACCAGAAGUUGACAGUGAAAAAGUCACUUGGCCUGAAAAUACAUGAGUAUGCCAAGGAAGGAAAUGAUGUGCUAAGUUGCUCUAUUACCAAGGCUUACUGAUUUCUACUCAUUUUAUAUUUUAUCCACUCCCUCUAAUCUUCACCAUGAAAAAAAUAAUAGUAUAUGUUUUUAUAGAAUACAUUUGUAGUUACAGAUUUCGGAAUCAUAUAGAGUAAAAUGUGGAAUAUUUCUAUAAGUCUGGAUAACUCUAAGUCUUGAAAGAAUUCAACUAUGUAAAAAUCAAUGAUUUUAAAACAAACAUUGAAUACACUGAUUGGUAAAAAGCUGUAUAGUUAAAUUUACCUAUCUAAUUUAGGUAGUUGAGUAGCCACAUGUAUAUUUUGCUCUUGUUUACCAUGAAAAUUAGACAUUUCCAUUUUACAUAAAUUGAAAUAUAAGUGCACUUAUGCUAAAGUGUUUUAGAAAGCAAUUUAGAUACUUAAAAGACAACUGUAACAUAUAAAUACUAAAUAAUAUGUUACAAAAACUGUGAGAAUUUAUAAAAUAUUUUGCAUGGCAAUGAGAGAAUUAAAUACUGUUUUAGCAGUUAUAUUUGGUAUUUAUGCUACCUCCAAUUACAAGAAAGA